CGGCCGCGUCGACGGGAGAAGACGUUGCUUCUCGGCUGGACGAGCGGCGGACGGGUGAGUAAUACUUAGGAAUCUACCUAGUAGUGGGGGAUAGCUCGGGGAAACUCGAAUUAAUACCGCAUACGACCUACGGGAGAAAGGGGGCAACUUGUUGCUCUCGCUAUUAGAUGAGCCUAAGUCGGAUUAGCUAGAUGGUGGGGUAAAGGCCUACCAUGGCGACGAUCUGUAGCUGGUCUGAGAGGAUGAUCAGCCACACCGGGACUGAGACACGGCCCGGACUCCUACGGGAGGCAGCAGUGGGGAAUAUUGGACAAUGGGGGCAACCCUGAUCCAGCCAUGCCGCGUGUGUGAAGAAGGCCUUUUGGUUGUAAAGCACUUUAAGCAGUGAAGAAGACUCCAUGGUUAAUACCCAUGGACGAUGACAUUAGCUGCAGAAUAAGCACCGGCUAACUCUGUGCCAGCAGCCGCGGUAAUACAGAGGUGCAAGCGUUAAUCGGAAUUACUGGGUCGACGCGGCCGAGUCGNGGGAGACG
Molecule: ribosomal RNA, 533 nt
Filed under: uncultured bacterium
Lineage: Bacteria
Description: bacterial SSU rRNA
Rfam family: Bacterial small subunit ribosomal RNA
Source: RNAcentral